Caerostris extrusa is the source of this 101-nucleotide non-coding RNA. The record is from the annotation of a GenBank genome assembly. Lineage: Eukaryota; Metazoa; Arthropoda; Arachnida; Araneae; Araneidae.
AACGGCCAUACCAUGCUGAAUAUACCGGUUCUCGUUUCGAUCACCGAAGUCAUAUUUCAGUACUAUGGGUGGGUGACCACCUGGGAACACCGCGUGCCGUU